RNAcentral lists this ribosomal RNA (467 nucleotides) under uncultured soil bacterium. RNAcentral describes it as "bacterial SSU rRNA". It matches the Rfam family "Bacterial small subunit ribosomal RNA", at positions 26 to 518 of the family's 1533-position model. The record is from RNAcentral.
AGAGCGAACGCUGGCGGCAGGCCUAACACAUGCAAGUCGAACGGACCCUUCGGGGUUAGUGGCGGACGGGUGAGUAACACGUGGGAACGUGCCUUUUGGUUCGGAAUAGCUCCUGGAAACGGGUGGUAAUGCCGAAUGUGCCCUUCGGGGGAAAGAUUUAUCGCCAUUAGAGCGGCCCGCGUCUGAUUAGCUAGUUGGUAAGGUAAUGGCUUACCAAGGCGACGAUCAGUAGCUGGUCUGAGAGGAUGACCAGCCACAUUGGGACUGAGACACGGCCCAAACUCCUACGGGAGGCAGCAGUGGGGAAUAUGGACAAUGGGCGAAAGCCUGAUCCAGCCAUGCCGCGUGUGUGAAGAAGGUCUUCGGAUUGUAAAGCACUUUAAGUGGAGGAAGGGCAGUUACCUAAUACGUAUCUGUUUGACGUUACCGACAGAAUAAGCACCGGCUAACUCUGUGCCAGCAGCCGC